UAAUACUCCAUAGAUUAUGGAAUCUGGAAUGAUCCAUAGUCAAAAGUUCCGGCGCUUAAGGAUCGGUCUGCGGCCUAUCAGGUCGUAGUGGGUGUAACGUACCUACUAGCCUAUGACGGGUAUGGGCCUUGAGAGAGGGAGCCCAGAGUUGGAUUCUGAGACACGAAUCCAGGCCCUACGGGGCGCAGCAGUCGCGAAAACUUCACAAUGGGGGCAACCCCGAUGAGGGAAUUCCUAGUGCUAGCACAUUUGUGUUAGCUUUUCUCUAGCGUAGAUAACUAGAGGAAUAAGGGCUGGGAAAGACGGGUGCCAGCCGCCGCGGUAAUACCUGCAGCCCAAGUGGUGGUCGAUUUUAUUGAGUCUAAAACGUUCGUAGCCGGUUCGAUAAAUCUUUGGGUAAAUCGGGGGGCUUAACCUUCCGUCUUCCGAGGAGACUGUCGAACUUGGGACCGGGAGAGGCUAGAGGUACUUCUGGGGUAGGGGUAAAAUCCUGUAAUCCUAGAGGGACCACCGGUGGCGAAGGCGUCUAGCUAGAACGGAUCCGACGGUGAGGGACGAAGCCCUGGGUCGCAAACGGGAUUAGAUACCCCGGUAGUCCAGGGUGUAAACGCUGCAGACUUGGUGU
RNAcentral lists this ribosomal RNA (625 nucleotides) under uncultured archaeon. RNAcentral describes it as "bacterial SSU rRNA". It matches the Rfam family "Archaeal small subunit ribosomal RNA", at positions 147 to 774 of the family's 1478-position model. The record is from RNAcentral.